GGGUGCGUGGUCGUCCGGCAAGUGAGCGAUUUGGUGAACAGACACUCCCUUCUGUAGCCAUGGAUUGUUACAGAAAUUCACUAAGCAGUUCCUGGAUUUACCCCACUGUGAUCCUCUGCUUAUUUGGUUUUUUCUCCAUGAUGAGACCCUCAGAACCAUUCCUUAUCCCAUAUUUAUCUGGACCAGAUAAAAACCUGACCAGUGCAGAGGUAAGUUAACAUACAUACAUAUCUUAAUGUGGUUUUUCAAAUUUUAUAGGACUUGAACAAGGAUACAGGGCUUCCCUCAACUUGAUAUAAGAUGAAUACAUUAAACUCAGUGAGUCUGAUUUUCAUAAUAUGUGUCCCAUACAGACACAUAUUAUUUCCUCUUCUUACUUGCAAACCAUUUCCUCUUCUUACUUGCAAAAAAUUGCAGCCAAAACAUAUUACAUGUGUUAACAAAUUUUUAACUUGCAUAGAGUCCUAACAUUUGUGUUAAUGAUAGGAGCCUUUCAGGUCUCCAUUGAUUCUAUUACACUAAUCCUAAAAUAGCAUCACUGGCAGGCACAGGAUCUAGAUCUAAAUAAACUCGCAGGCUGCUGAGGGAUAAGCAGGAUCUCAUAAAAAAUUGUGGUAUUUCUUUAUGACACUGUUUGCCAGCAGGUGAGCCAUUAACAGCUUUAUCUCCCAGCCCUUGCCUCCUUCUCUGGAAUGCCAGAUUAUCUUACUUAAAAGAGCAACGCCUUUCUUUUUCUUUCUUUCUUUCUUUUUUUUUUUUUUUUUUUUUUUUGUUUUACUGUUUUUGUUUGAGAUGGAGUCUCAC
RNAcentral lists this small RNA (804 nucleotides) under Pongo abelii (Sumatran orangutan). Its description in RNAcentral is "retained intron". The record is from RNAcentral. Lineage: Eukaryota; Metazoa; Chordata; Mammalia; Primates; Hominidae.